GGGUCAGUAGGUUGGUCGUGCCACCGGUACGUACUGGUCCCACUGAUUCCUCCUUCCUGAAGAACUGUAAUGCCAUUAAUUUGGUGUUGCGGGGAAACAGGACUGUUACUUUGAAAAAAUUAGAGUGUUUAAAGCAAGCUAACGCUUGAAUACAUUAGCAUGGAAUAAUGAAAUAGGACGAUCGAUCCUAUUUUGUUGGUUUCUAGGAUUGACGUA
RNAcentral lists this ribosomal RNA (216 nucleotides) under Glomeromycotina sp. RNAcentral describes it as "partial small subunit ribosomal RNA". The stretch from base 44 to 216 matches the Rfam family "Eukaryotic small subunit ribosomal RNA", at positions 690 to 864 of the family's 1831-position model. Lineage: Eukaryota; Fungi; Glomeromycota. The record is from RNAcentral.